RNAcentral lists this RNase P RNA (421 nucleotides) under Rhodospirillaceae bacterium. RNAcentral's name for it is "RNase P RNA component class A". It matches the Rfam family "Bacterial RNase P class A". From Rfam's summary of the family: Ribonuclease P (RNase P) is a ubiquitous endoribonuclease, found in archaea, bacteria and eukarya as well as chloroplasts and mitochondria. The record is from RNAcentral. Lineage: Bacteria; Pseudomonadati; Pseudomonadota; Alphaproteobacteria; Rhodospirillales; Rhodospirillaceae.
CCAGGCGGCCGGAUGACCGCCGCUCCGGCCGUUCGCGGGCGGGGUGGAGGAAAGUCCGGGCUCCACGGGAAUACGGAGCCGGGUAACACCCGGCGGGGGCGACCCCAGGGAAAGUGCCACAGAAAGCAAACCGCCUGCCAAUAUAUACGUUCGCGUAGCUUUGGCGGGUAAGGGUGAAAGGGUGCGGUAAGAGCGCACCGCGCCGCCGGUAACGGCGGCGGCAGGGUAAACCCCUCCGGGAGCAAGACCAAAUAGGGGCGGUACGCCGCGCCGUUCGCGGCCCGGCAGACGAAUUCCCGCGUUACCGCCCGGGUCGGUCGCUAGAGGCGCCCGGUAACGGACGUCCCAGAAGAAUGGUCAUCGCCCGCAUUUGUUAACCAUUUGCGGGAUACAGAACCCGGCUUACAGGCCGCCUGGCGCU